CUCUGUGACUCCUACGGGAGGCAGCAGUGGGAAUAUUGCACAAUGGGGGAAACCCUGAUGCAGCCAUGCCGCGUGUGUGAAGAAGGCCUUCGGGUGUAAAGCACUUUCAGUAGGGAGGAAGGUAGUGUAGUUAACACCUGCACUAUUUGACGUUACCUACAGAAGAAGCACCGGCUAACUCCGUGCCAGCAGCCGCGGUAAUACGGAGGGUGCGAGCGUUAAUCGGAAUUACUGGGCGUAAAGCGCAUGCAGGCGGCCUGUUAAGUCAGAUGUGAAAGCCCGGGGCUUAACCUCGGAAUUGCAUUUGAAACUGGCAGGCUAGAGUCUUGUAGAGGGGGUAGAAUUUCAGGUGUAGCGGUGAAAUGCGUAGAGAUCUGAAGGAAUACCAGUGGCGAAGGCGGCCCCCUGGACAAAGACUGACGCUCAGAUGCGAAAGCGUGGGGAGCAAACAGGAUUAGAUACCCUGGUAG
This 470-nucleotide ribosomal RNA is filed under the name uncultured bacterium. RNAcentral's name for it is "bacterial SSU rRNA". It matches the Rfam family "Bacterial small subunit ribosomal RNA", at positions 328 to 793 of the family's 1533-position model. The record is from RNAcentral.